AAGUUUUUUCCUCCUAAUGAAGCAAGAUAUUUUUUCUGCAAAUGGCAUUCAAAUGGAAAAACAAUAAGAGAAUAUUUUCAAAGCAAAAUCCAGCACAGUAGUGACAUUUAAAGAACAGACAAGCUGUGGAAUGAGAAAAACAUCAAAAACUUUCCUGCAAGUUUUUUAUACUCUCACGGUGAGUAACAACUUGGAUGGAAAAUUUCCUGCUAUAUAAUAAUUGUGAGUGCUAGUCCUGUCAUGAAAAGGCGUAUGAGUUUUGUUAAAACUCUCUCUACCAGAUAGGUGUAA
Molecule: long non-coding RNA, 291 nt
Organism: Harmonia axyridis
Lineage: Eukaryota; Metazoa; Arthropoda; Insecta; Coleoptera; Coccinellidae
Exons: 3
Source: RefSeq, a predicted model, not a curated record